RNAcentral lists this unclassified non-coding RNA (288 nucleotides) under Basidiomycota sp. Its description in RNAcentral is "partial contains small subunit ribosomal RNA, internal transcribed spacer 1, and 5.8S ribosomal RNA". The stretch from base 1 to 47 matches the Rfam family "Eukaryotic small subunit ribosomal RNA", at positions 1785 to 1831 of the family's 1831-position model. Lineage: Eukaryota; Fungi; Basidiomycota. The record is from RNAcentral.
AAAGUCGUAACAAGGUUUCCGUAGGUGAACCUGCGGAAGGAUCAUUAUUAAACAAAACAGGUUUAAAUUCCUGUGCGGAGCGACGUUCGCCCUGUUCGAAUCUCCACAGUUCGAAUUAGAGUAUGAAUGCGAUGUCUCUCCGACAUUGAUCUUUUGUAUUUAGUGAUAAACUAAAAGGGCGUCGUGAAGCAAAUUUACCUCACACAUUUUUGUCUGAAUCUUUUUGUUGUUCAAAUGAACUUCAAUAUGAAUUUUAAACAACUUUUAACAACGGAUCUCUAGGCUCCU